Molecule: long non-coding RNA, 445 nt
Filed under: Androctonus crassicauda
Lineage: Eukaryota; Metazoa; Arthropoda; Arachnida; Scorpiones; Buthidae
Source: RNAcentral
AUUAUAUUAUAAGGCAUUUAAUUUUAUAAUAAUCCAAUUAAUAUUUUUCAAACAUCAUAUGAUUUAUUAUAUUUGAAAAAUAUAAUUAUAUUAGUCAACAUCCUACAUAAGGGUCACUACAAGGAUACUCGGGCAGUGCUUAGAACACAAAAAAGACAUAGCAAAAGCUAGAAUGACAACUGCCCUAUCCAUUAAGGCUUACGAAGGUGAUAUAGAGAUACACUGGCAAGAAACCAGAGUAUUGAAACAACUAACUGACCCAGCACGAGCCAUGUGUAGAGAGACGCUAGAAAUCCUUACCCGACAGAAAACAGAAACAUUACUCAACGAACAUCCCACCACGAGGAUACCGGACACAUGGAACUACCUCCUCCGAACAACUGAAGACCCGAGUGAUCGUACACAACUAACCACGGAAGGCUAAUAUUCCCUGGGGAACACACCC